AUUGAACGCUGGCGGCAUGCUUUACACAUGCAAGUCGAACGGCAGCACAGCGGGGGUAACCCUGCGGGUGGCGAGUGGCGAACGGGUGAGUAAUACAUCGGAACGUGCCCUGUUGUGGGGGAUAACCACGCGAAAGCGUGGCUAAUACCGCAUACGCCCUGAGGGGGAAAGCGGGGGACCCUAAAUAGAGUGAACUGGACAUUACUCCAGUAAUGUUGCGGUUUGUUGUAUUUAGGGCCUCGCGCGAUAGGAGCGGCCGAUGUCGGAUUAGCUAGUUGGUGAGGUAAAGGCUCACCAAGGCGACGAUCCGUAGCUGGUCUGAGAGGAUGAUCAGCCACACUGGGACUGAGACACGGCCCAGACUCCUACGGGAGGCAGCAGUGGGGAAUUUUGGACAAUGGGGGCGAACCCUGAUCCAGCCAUGCCGCGUGAGUGAAGAAGGCCUCGG
This 448-nucleotide ribosomal RNA is filed under the name uncultured bacterium. RNAcentral describes it as "bacterial SSU rRNA". It matches the Rfam family "Bacterial small subunit ribosomal RNA", at positions 30 to 420 of the family's 1533-position model. The record is from RNAcentral.